This 804-nucleotide ribosomal RNA is filed under the name uncultured Pelagibacteraceae bacterium. RNAcentral describes it as "bacterial SSU rRNA". It matches the Rfam family "Bacterial small subunit ribosomal RNA", at positions 35 to 887 of the family's 1533-position model. Lineage: Bacteria; Pseudomonadati; Pseudomonadota; Alphaproteobacteria; Candidatus Pelagibacterales; Candidatus Pelagibacteraceae. The record is from RNAcentral.
GCUGGCGGCACGCCUAACACAUGCAAGUCGAACGAAGUAGCAAUACUUAGUGGCAGACGGGUGAGUAACAUGUGGGUAUCUGCCCUUUGGCCUGGAAUAACACGAGGAAACUUGUGCUAAUACCGGAUAAGUCUUUACGGAGAAAGCUUUAUGCACCAUUGGAUGAGCCCGCACUUGAUUAGUUUGUUGGUAGGGUAAUGGCCUACCAAGACUGUGAUCAAUAGCUGAUUUGAGAGGAUGAUCAGCCACAUUGGGACUGAGACACGGCCCAAACUCCUACGGGAGGCAGCAGUGGGGAAUCUUGCACAAUGGAGGAAACUCUGAUGCAGCGAUGCCGCGUGAGUGAAGAAGGCCUUUGGGUUGUAAAGCUCUUUCGUCGGGGAAGAAAAUGACUGUACCCGAAUAAGAAGGUCCGGCUAACUUCGUGCCAGCAGCCGCGGUAAUACGAAGGGACCUAGCGUAGUUCGGAAUUACUGGGCUUAAAGAGUUCGUAGGUGGUUGAAAAAGUUGGUGGUGAAAUCCCAGAGCUUAACUCUGGAACUGCCAUCAAAACUUUUCAGCUAGAGUUUGAUAGAGGAAAGCAGAAUUUCUAGUGUAGAGGUGAAAUUCGUAGAUAUUAGAAAGAAUACCAAUUGCGAAGGCAGCUUUCUGGAUCAUUACUGACACUGAGGAACGAAAGCAUGGGUAGCGAAGAGGAUUAGAUACCCUCGUAGUCCAUGCCGUAAACGAUGUGUGUUAGACGUUGGAAAUUUAUUUUCAGUGUCGCAGCGAAAGCGAUAAACACACCGCCUGGGGAGUACGACC